GAUGAACGCUGGCGGCGUGCCUAAUACAUGCAAGUCGAGCGAACGGACGAGAAGCUUGCUUCUCUGAUGUUAGCGGCGGACGGGUGAGUAACACGUGGAUAACCUACCUAUAAGACUGGGAUAACUUCGGGAAACCGGAGCUAAUACCGGAUGAUAUUUUGAACCGCAUGGUUCAAAAGUGAAAGACGGUCUUGCUGUCACUUAUAGAUGGAUCCGGGCUGCAUUAGAUAGUUGGUAAGGUAACGGCUUACCAAGGCAACGAUGCAUAGCCGACCUGAGAGGGUGAUAGGCCACACUGGAGCUGAGACACGGUCCAGACUCCUACGGGAGGCAGCAGUAGGGAAUGUUCCGCAAUGGGCGAAAGCCUGACGGAGCAACGCCGCGUGAGUGAUGAAGGUCUUCGGAUCGUAAAACUCUGUUAUUAGGGAAGAACAUAUGUGUAAGUAACUGUGCACAUCUUGACGGUACCUAAUCAGAAAGCCACGGCUAACUACGUG
Molecule: ribosomal RNA, 497 nt
Filed under: uncultured bacterium
Lineage: Bacteria
Description: partial 16S ribosomal RNA
Rfam family: Bacterial small subunit ribosomal RNA
Source: RNAcentral